UAUAUAUAAUGUAAACUAAAAAGCUGUCAUUUGUAAACUGGUGUUAUCUAAUAUUUUCGACACUUUGGACCGUUUAAGCGAAAAACUAUAUUAUACAUAAUUGUAAUAAUUGUGAGCACUUGCACUGACCAGAUUGUGCCUUUUAUUAGCUGCUAUUGUGAGGAGGUUACAGAGAUUACGUGCAGGUCAGCUAAAAACAAGCACAAGC
Molecule: non-coding RNA, 208 nt
Organism: Paramuricea clavata
Lineage: Eukaryota; Metazoa; Cnidaria; Anthozoa; Malacalcyonacea; Plexauridae
Source: the annotation of a GenBank genome assembly